GUUCGUCAGAGGGGAGCAGCGAUGUCGGCCGACGUUGGAGAGCGUGAUUGAAGGGCUUCCGAGAAUUCUCCGGCUUUGUUGUGCAGCUUCCUCGGAGCAGCAGUCAGAGGUAAUGGCUUUAGCAGGGGCAGGUACACAAAGCUCCAGUGGCCACAAACCGGAGCUGGACAAACUUUACUGUUGACAUCUGGAAUUUCUUUCCUCUCUUUGCUUUUUUAUUCUCUUCCUUCUCUUCUUCCUCUCUUCCCCCCGCCGUUUUGAUUGAGGGCUGACUCGCUCGGAACAGAAUCCGUCAUCGUAAAAGCGUCAGCCGGCUAAAUUUAGACAUUUGUUUUCUGGUGCCUGCUCUGGCUCUGCAUGUUUUACCACACAUGAUAUCAUGCCCUCCUGUGCUGCCGGUCUGACCGCACUCUGAACCCCUGAAUGGUUUCUCUGGUUUACAUACACAUGCGGUAAUUAUCAUAAUGGAGGCUGUCACCAGCAAUUUAUCUCCCAUCACAGAUAAUUUACAUCUUAUCAUAUCCUCGUCUACUGUGGUUUCUGACAGUGCAGACUGUGCAUUAACCCGACAUUACUCUGACUGAAAACCCAGAAAUGCAGCGCUCACAUCCUCAUUAUAAAGCGCAGAAUGUCACUGCCAAUCCAUAACAUGCUUUGGCUUGUGUCAGCUGGAUAUUCUGCUCUUAGUAUUUCCACUGUGAGGGCAUUUCUGUGCUCAAACUCAAGGUAGUUUCCAUCCUGCGGUGAUAAACUUAAAUCUUGGAUGUUGGUCCUUUUUGUUUACGACUCUUUUUAGAUGAAUUCACAGAAUUUACCCGCAAAAAUACGGUAACCCGCAGUGUUAUAAAUAUGCCUCAAAAACAGUCGCACAUUUAGGAAUAAAUCGGUUUCAAGUCCUGCAGUUUAAUAAAAUAUCUAAUGAUAGAGGGAGUCAUUUUUAAGGCUAGAGAGAGACAGAGAGAGCACAUCUGGAAUUUCUUUCCUCUCUUUGCUUUUUUCAGAGAGGAAUUACGUUUGCAUGUUAAUGGAUGAUAAUUGUGAGGUCACAAAAAUAUCUUCUCAUUUCACUUCUUAUAUCAGACUUUUCCUGGAGAUUUCCAACAUGUUUCUUGCUCAGCAGACGGAGAUUUGCUUAGUUGUUAAAGAAACUGAUUUAUUAAGCUUGGGAGUUAAAACAUCCAAAGAAAACAUGGCGAACUUUAUCCAGCGAGGACCUGCUGAUGGGAUUCAAAGCUGUGAGCUUAGCCUCUAAUUAGAUAUGUGAAUUGGGACUUUUUAUCUAAUCUAUAAAAUCAAAACUAUCACAGAAUCUAAGAUUGGUGGAGAACGUCUAACCUGACCGCAGAGAAAAAAGAGGGUUAGAAGACAAACACACAAGCAGCUGCAGAGUGAGAGAGACAUCUAAGAAAUCAACACAAACAGGAAGUUCUUCACAUGUAAAUGUUCAUCACUGACACAGACACAGUUCGUCUCCGCCUGUUUGCAUGGUGUGAAAUACGAUCCGCCUGAAACACGGAGUGUUUUAUUUUGAAAAGAAGCCGGAUGUUUUAUUUUGUGUCUGUGCCCGACUCCCUUUCCAGCACGGGCUAAUCUGUGCUGAAUUUAUCUGCCAUGCUCCGGCGUCCCCAAAAAAAAUAGAACUUUUGCGAUCAGCUGUGGAGUCCGGCGAUGCGCAGAGGAACGGAAAGAAGUCGGUGGAAAUUGACACGUUAACUUAAAUGGUUACGAUCAGCUACGAUUGGCGGAUACGGCCUUUCCGUAGACGUUCCAGAUGUUGUGGAAAUCGGGGGUUAUAUGUGCAGCAAAGCCAAAUAACAGUAUCUCACACACACAAAGUUUACAGUACAGCCUGUGCGUGUUUUGUACUUUUGAAUGUCAUUUUCUUAACAUGUACACACACACACACACACACACACACACACACACACACACACACACACACACUCGCAUUAAACUGUGUAGACAGUCAGGAUGCUGCUGCACAGACAGGACUUCCUUAUUUUACUCUCUUGUCCUCCAUUUUUCAUCUCUUCAUUUAUGGAAUCAUGUGAGGAGAGGGUUCACCUGAACAAUGUCAGUCUCCUGUCUACCUGCAGCUCUUCCACUGAACUAAAGCCCUGCUGAUAAGUUAUGUGCUAAACUGUCUGUAACACCAUGACAGUGAUGCUCUAAUUUUCAGAGCAUAUUUUCUCCGUGUCCACUCUUACAGAAGAUGUUCUCUGCUUUCGUGUGCUCUUGCCGUCCUCCUUUUUGCGUGUGAACAGCUCCGUUCCUUAAACUCCCCGCACCGUGCGUUGGGGAGUUGGUGCCCCUGCGUCUUGGAAGUGGAAACCCCAAAGAGUGUGUCCAGUGACUGAGGA
Non-coding RNA from Xyrichtys novacula (pearly razorfish), 2360 nucleotides. Lineage: Eukaryota; Metazoa; Chordata; Actinopteri; Labriformes; Labridae. The record is from the annotation of a GenBank genome assembly.